RNAcentral lists this ribosomal RNA (473 nucleotides) under uncultured organism. RNAcentral's name for it is "partial 16S ribosomal RNA". It matches the Rfam family "Bacterial small subunit ribosomal RNA", at positions 331 to 796 of the family's 1533-position model. The record is from RNAcentral.
GUACACUCCUACGGGAGGCAGCAGUGGGGAAUAUUGCACAAUGGGCGCAAGCCUGAUGCAGCCAUGCCGCGUGUAUGAAGAAGGCCUUCGGGUUGUAAAGUACUUUCAGCGGGGAGGAAGGCGAUAAGGUUAAUAACCUUGUUGAUUGACGUUACCCGCAGAAGAAGCACCGGCUAACUCCGUGCCAGCAGCCGCGGUAAUACGGAGGGUGCAAGCGUUAAUCGGAAUUACUGGGCGUAAAGCGCACGCAGGCGGUCUGUCAAGUCGGAUGUGAAAUCCCCGGGCUCAACCUGGGAACUGCAUUCGAAACUGGCAGGCUAGAGUCUUGUAGAGGGGGGUAGAAUUCCAGGUGUAGCGGUGAAAUGCGUAGAGAUCUGGAGGAAUACCGGUGGCGAAGGCGGCCCCCUGGACAAAGACUGACGCUCAGGUGCGAAAGCGUGGGGAGCAAACAGGAUUAGAUACCCCUGUAGUCC